This 225-nucleotide ribosomal RNA is filed under the name uncultured bacterium. RNAcentral's name for it is "partial 16S ribosomal RNA". It matches the Rfam family "Bacterial small subunit ribosomal RNA", at positions 15 to 219 of the family's 1533-position model. The record is from RNAcentral.
GAUCCUGGCUCAGGAUGAACGCUGGCGGCGUGCUUAACACAUGCAAGUCGAGCGAAGCACUUUGCUUUGAUUUUCUUCGGGAUGAAGAGCUUAGUGACUGAGCGGCGGACGGGUGAGUAACGCGUGGGUAACCUGCCUCAUACAGGGGGAUAACAGUUAGAAUGACUGCUAAUACCGCAUAAGGCCACAGCACCGCAUGGUGCGAGGGGUAAAAACUCCGGUGGU